CGGUGGUGUGGUGGUUAGCACUCUCGCCUCACAGCAAGAGGGUUGCUGGUUCGAUCCCGGGCGUGGGAGCCCUUCUGUGUGGAGUUUGCAUGUUCUCCCCGUGUCAGCGUGGGUUCUCUCCGGGCACUCCGGCUUCCUCCCACAGUCCAAAGACAUGCAGAUUGGGGACUAGGUUAAUUGAUAACUCUAAAUUGUCCAUAGGUGUGAAUGUGAGCGUGAAUGGUUGUUUGUCUCUAUGUGUCAGCCCUGCGAUAGUCUGGCGACCUGUCCAGGGUGUACCCUGCCUCUCGCCCGAUGUAGCUGGGAUAGGCUCCAGCCCCCCCGCGACCCUCAAGAGGAUGAAGCGGUUAGAAGAUGAAUGAAUGAAAAACUGGGUUGUUUGUAUACAGUAACAUGUCAAUAAUGUACACACUUUAACUUAAAUUUAAAAAUUAAGAAAGUGGAUUGUUUGUAUACAGUAACUUGAAAAUAAUGCACAUAAUUUGAGUUUAACUUAAAUUAAAAAAAAUUAAAGUUGGCUGUUUGGAUACAACAACUUGUCGAUAUUGCACACACUGAGUUUAAUUUAAAUUUUGAAAAAUAAAAAUAAAAAAGUGGGUUGUUAGUACACAGUAACAUGUCUAAUGUUCACACUUUAAAUUAAAUUAAUAUAUAUUUUUAAAUAUAUAUUUUUUAAAUAAUAAAGUGGGUUGUUUGUGUACAGUAACUUGUCAAUAAUGUACACACUUUGAGUUGAACUUAAAUAAAAAAAAAAACAAUAAAAAGUGGGUCGCUUUUACACAGUAACUUGUCAAUGAUGUAAACACUUUGGGUUUAACCUAAAUAAAUAAAUAACUAAAAGUGUUGUUUGUAUACAAUAACUUGUCAAUAAUGUACACACUUUGAGUUUAACUUAAAUUAUAAAAAUAAAAAAGGUGUUUGUAUACAAUAACUUGUCAAUAAUGUACACACUUUGAGUUUAACUGAGAAAAAUCUAAUGAAAUAAAUCGUCCUUGAUGACCAUUCAGUGUAA
Molecule: long non-coding RNA, 1012 nt
Organism: Epinephelus fuscoguttatus (brown-marbled grouper)
Lineage: Eukaryota; Metazoa; Chordata; Actinopteri; Perciformes; Serranidae
Exons: 2
Source: RefSeq, a predicted model, not a curated record